Molecule: ribosomal RNA, 1346 nt
Filed under: uncultured bacterium
Lineage: Bacteria
Description: partial 16S ribosomal RNA
Rfam family: Bacterial small subunit ribosomal RNA
Source: RNAcentral
GACGAACGCUGGCGGCGUGCUUAACACAUGCAAGUCGAACGGAAAGGCCCUGCUUUUGUGGGGUGCUCGAGUGGCGAACGGGUGAGUAACACGUGAGUAACCUGCCCUUGACUUUGGGAUAACUUCAGGAAACUGGGGCUAAUACCGGAUAGGAGCUCCUGCUGCAUGGUGGGGGUUGGAAAGUUUCGGCGGUUGGGGAUGGACUCGCGGCUUAUCAGCUUGUUGGUGGGGUAGUGGCUUACCAAGGCUUUGACGGGUAGCCGGCCUGAGAGGGUGACCGGCCACAUUGGGACUGAGAUACGGCCCAGACUCCUACGGGAGGCAGCAGUGGGGAAUAUUGCACAAUGGGCGGAAGCCUGAUGCAGCAACGCCGCGUGCGGGAUGACGGCCUUCGGGUUGUAAACCGCUUUCGCCUGUGACGAAGCGUGAGUGACGGUAAUGGGUAAAGAAGCACCGGCUAACUACGUGCCAGCAGCCGCGGUGAUACGUAGGGUGCGAGCGUUGUCCGGAUUUAUUGGGCGUAAAGGGCUCGUGGGUGGUUGAUCGCGUCGGAAGUGUAAUCUUGGGGCUUAACCCUGAGCGUGCUUUCGAUACGGGUUGACUUGAGGAAGGUAGGGGAGAAUGGAAUUCCUGGUGGAGCGGUGGAAUGCGCAGAUAUCAGGAGGAACACCAGUGGCGAAGGCGGUUCUCUGGGCCUUUCCUGACGCUGAGGAGCGAAAGCGUGGGGAGCGAACAGGCUUAGAUACCCUGGUAGUCCACGCUGUAAACGGUGGGUACUAGGUGUGGGGUCCAUUCCACGGGUUCCGUGCCGUAGCUAACGCUUUAAGUACCCCGCCUGGGGAGUACGGCCGCAAGGCUAAAACUCAAAGGAAUUGACGGGGCCCCGCACAAGCGGCGGAGCAUGCGGAUUAAUUCGAUGCAACGCGUAGAACCUUACCUGGGUUUGACAUGGAUCGGGAGUGCUCAGAGAUGGGUGUGCCUCUUUUGGGGUCGGUUCACAGGUGGUGCAUGGCUGUCGUCAGCUCGUGUCGUGAGAUGUUGGGUUAAGUCCCGCAACGAGCGCAACCCUUGUUCACUGUUGCCAGCACGUUAUGGUGGGGACUCAGUGGAGACCGCCGGGGUCAACUCGGAGGAAGGUGGGGAUGACGUCAAGUCAUCAUGCCCCUUAUGUCCAGGGCUUCACGCAUGCUACAAUGGCUGGUACAGAGAGUGGCGAGCCUGUGAGGGUGAGCGAAUCUCGGAAAGCCGGUCUCAGUUCGGAUUGGGGUCUGCAACUCGACCUCAUGAAGUCGGAGUCGCCAGUAAUCGCAGAUCAGCAACGCUGCGGUGAAUACGUUCCCGGGGCU